RNAcentral lists this ribosomal RNA (445 nucleotides) under uncultured bacterium. RNAcentral describes it as "bacterial SSU rRNA". It matches the Rfam family "Bacterial small subunit ribosomal RNA", at positions 330 to 793 of the family's 1533-position model. The record is from RNAcentral.
UCCAGACUCCUACGGGAGGCAGCAGUGAGGGAUAUUGCACAAUGGGGGAAACCCUGAUGCAGCAACGCCGCGUGAGUGAAGAAGGUCUUCGGAUUGUAAAGCUCUGUUCUUGGUGAAGAUAAUGACGGUAGCCAAGGAGAAAGCUCCGGCUAACUACGUGCCAGCAGCCGCGGUAAUACGUAGGGAGCGAGCGUUGUCCGGAUUUACUGGGUGUAAAGGGUGCGCAGGCGGCACGGCAAGCCGGCGGUCAAAUCGCGGGGCUCAACCCCGCCCAGCCGUCGGAACUGCCGGGCUAGAGUGGGCGAGAAGUGCGCGGAAUGCGUGGUGUAGCGGUGAAAUGCAUAGAUAUCACGCAGAACUCCGAUUGCGAAGGCAGCGCACCGGCGCCCUACUGACGCUCAGGCACGAAAGCGUGGGUAUCGAACAGGAUUAGAUACCCGUGUAC